Long non-coding RNA from Oncorhynchus tshawytscha (Chinook salmon), 790 nucleotides. Lineage: Eukaryota; Metazoa; Chordata; Actinopteri; Salmoniformes; Salmonidae. The record is from Ensembl.
UGUGUACGAGGCUGAAGGUGCCCAGUGGCUGUGUACGAGGCUGAAGGUGCCCAGUGGCUGUGUACGAGGCUGAAGGGGCCCAGUGGCUGUGUACGAGGCUGAAGGGGCCCAGUGGCUGUGUACGACGCUGAAGGGGCCCAGUGGCUGUGUACGACGCUGAAGGGGCCCAGUGGCUGUGUACGACGCUGAAGGGGCCCAGUGGCUGUGUACGAGGCUGAAGGUCCCCAGUGGCUGUGUACGAGGCUGAAGCUGCCCAUUGGCUGUGUACGAGGCUGAAGCUGCCCAUUGGCUGUGUACGAGGCCGAAGCUGCCCAGGGGCUGUGUACGAGGCCGAAGGUCCCCAGGGGCUGUGUACGAGGCCGAAGGUCCCCAGUGGCUAUGUACGAGGCCGAAGGUCCCCAGUGGCUGUGUACGAGGCCGAAGCUGCCCAUGUGGCUAUGUACGAGGCCGAAGCUGCCCAGUGGCUGUGUACGAGGCUGAAGCUGCCCAGUGGCUGUGUACGAGGCUGAAGGUGCUGUGUAAGAAGACGUCUCUAAGUCAUACUGCGUCUGGUGUGUGAGGGGCUCCUUGUAAGAAUGUGAAAAUAAAAGGGGAACUGUUUCUUCAGAGCGGUCAGUGAAGCACUACGCAAUCCAUUAUAUGGAUGAGGACAGUCUGGGAAACCUUUUUGAUAUGGUAUACUGCAAAGGGAACGAGAUUCAAGGUGGCGUUUGAUAACUUGGGUUUUUUUCGAUUGGGACAGGUGCACGCUUCUCAGAGAUCACACGUGUCCCACAAUCGGCAGCCUUGA